Populus trichocarpa (black cottonwood) is the source of this 113-nucleotide non-coding RNA. The record is from Rfam. NCBI's taxonomy places the organism in Eukaryota, Viridiplantae, Streptophyta, Magnoliopsida, Malpighiales, Salicaceae.
UAAUUUGUUUGUUGUAGAUACUUGUCUAAUUAUAACAGAUGGAUACUUAAUUAUUUAAAAUCACUCGGUAUUGCAAGUCUAAUAAUUACUUCACUUUUUCAGUCGUUUAAUUU